Molecule: long non-coding RNA, 2176 nt
Organism: Phasianus colchicus (ring-necked pheasant)
Lineage: Eukaryota; Metazoa; Chordata; Aves; Galliformes; Phasianidae
Source: RefSeq, a predicted model, not a curated record
CUGCGUCUUCUGCGUGCUCAGAAACCACACUUCCCGUCAGUCUUGGCGCUCGCCUUUGGUUCGUGCGGUCUCCGCCUGCAGUUUCUGGGGAGAUGGAAGGGGUAGUUGGCGCCAAGGCUUCGGCAGAGCCAGAGCUCUGUACGUGCCCUAGCAGCCCUGGCGCCAGCGUUCUCUCAGGAGGUGCUUGUGGCUGCUCCGCGGAACUCUGGGAAAGGCGGUUCGGAAAUGCCGUGGGAAGUAGCAAGCUGCUCUGCUUCCCUUAUGCCGCGUGGCGGGCGGUUAGGAGCGGCUCGGGCAGCGGUCACGCAGGGCGCUGCGUUGUAGGGGUGAGGAGCGAGUCCUGGGCGCUCCCAGGGGCUGCGUGCAGAGCAGCCGUCGGUCUGGCCAGGCUCUGCUUCUGUCUGAGCUCCGGCCCCACAGACCUGACUUCUGGGGCAGGUGAAGGCACGCUUCAGUGACGGGAUGCAUUAGAAGUUGUGAAUCUGACAUUCUCAUAGCAGACUGACUCAGUUAUCUGUCAUAAGAAAACUCCAGUUAAGCUGGAUUAGCUGGGACGUGCCAGGUAUUGAGACUUGUGACUGAUAAGGUCUGAUAAGAAGAACUGCUUUUAUACAAAACAAGAAGAAAACCCAACCUACAACAACAAAAAAGGCACUCUAGAAGGAAGUAUCUUUGAAAAUGAAGGGAAGGUACAACAAGGGCAGGCUGCAGACUGUUAAAGUACUGAGGCUUAAAAUUGAAGUGUGAGAAUUUCAAUUCAGUGCAAAAUCCACUGCAGUUUUGGUUGGCACGAAUUCUCCUGAGCAGUGUUUAUGUAACUUAAUCCUGACUGAAGAGCAAGGUGAUUUCUGGCUGUACAGCAGCAGCACGUGUGCCCGUGAGAAGAAAAAUUCUAACCCAUGGGUAAUGUAGGUGUUGAUUCACAGCUGUGCUUCUGACAUGUCAUAUCUAGGAACAAUGCUGUAGUUCAGGACAGCACUUAGGAAAGCUAAAAAUUCUCCAUCAAUACUGCAGAUAAUGCACUUUAAAAUAAAUAAAUAAACAAUAUCAUUCACAAUUAGAGACUACACCUCUGCCCAGUGGAAGUCUUCAAGUACCACUAGCAUACCAUCACCAGGACUAGAGACCCUGUGAAAGGAAGGAAAACAACAAGAACAACAACAACAAAACAACAACAACAACAAAAACAUAGAACAACCAGUUAAAGUACUGAAGUAGCUGGGAAUAAAUCUUGUUAAAUACAGACCAGCAAAUAUCUUUAGAGAAUUAGAGAGGACUGAGACAAAGACUACAGUGCCUCUACUAAAAGACUGAAAACUACUCUUCUGUGGAGUGGAAUGAUAUUCUGAUGGCUAAUACUGAAAGCAGUGUGCAUACAGAUGGAAUUACACUCACUUCAAAGUGAAGCAUUAAUGUAUUCAGUGGAAGAAUGCACUUGUAGUGACUGCGGCUUGGUAAAACCUCAGUCUGGCUGUGAAACUCGACUUCUAUUAGCAGCUACAGAAGAAGGAGCUGCUGUUCCAGUUACUGCAAAAUCUUUUGAUUACUGCAACUAUAUUCUGGGUGCUAGGUGCCUAUGACAGUGGUACAUUUUUACUGCAUAAUAAUAAAUCAAUUAUUCCAGUAAAGCUAUUAAUACUUGCAGUCAGUGGGGAAGGCUAGUGCAUCCUCCUGUUAUACUCUGCCUUGAACAUUCACUGUUACAUUAUUUCUAAUUCUAGUGUGUCUUUGGUCAAGUAUUUCUAUAUUAGAAAUUUAUUUAUUAUUUAGAAACACCAAUCCAUUUAUUGGAAUUUUUAAUUUCUGGAAGUCUCUGUGUAGAAUGGCUCUUCCAGUGUCUUGAGAUUCCAUCUGCUUAUGUGAGAUAUUUAAAUAAAUUUGAAAUUAUGUGUUUCACGAUAAAAAUCAGAUCUUAUGCUGAAAAUUACUUCAGGCAGACACGAAGACUACAUAGCAUUCCCAGUCUUGUAAAGCGUAGUUGCAAAUAAACCUCUGAUGCUUGAAAUAAGAACGGCAUAUGUCUUUACACCGGACAGUACCUCCGGGUCACACUGGAGCAGGCUGUGGUUCUGUGAAAUGCCAUACGUGUAAUCACAAUGUAUUUCCUGAUGGUGGAGAAUUUAAUUGCCAGCCACUUUUCAGAAUGUGUUCUAUAAAAAAUUUGUAGCUGCAUAGG